GACGAACGCUGGCGGCGCGCCUUACGCAUGCAAGUCGUACGCCGGGCUUCGGCCCGGAGUGGCAGACGGCUGAGUAACGCGUAGGCAACCUAUCCCACAGUGAGGAAUAACCCAUCGAAAGACGGGCUAAUACCACAUUCGUUCCAGGGGUGAAAUACCCCCUCGGAGGAAAGCCGCAAGGCGCUGAGGGAGGGGCCUGCGUCUUAUCAGGUAGUUGGUGAGGUAACGGCUCACCAAGCCGGCGACGGGUAGCUGGUCUGAGAGGACGACCAGCCAGACGGGGACUGAGACACGGCCCCGACUCCUACGGGAGGCAGCAGCGAGGAAUCUUGGGCAAUGGGCGAAAGCCUGACCCAGCGACGCCGCGUGGGGGAAGAAGGCCUUCGGGUCGUAAACCCCUUUUGCCGGGGAAGAAGCUCUGACGGUACCCGGCGAAUAAGCCACGGCUAACUACGUG
RNAcentral lists this ribosomal RNA (457 nucleotides) under uncultured bacterium. RNAcentral's name for it is "bacterial SSU rRNA". It matches the Rfam family "Bacterial small subunit ribosomal RNA", at positions 28 to 507 of the family's 1533-position model. The record is from RNAcentral.